CUAAUACAUGUAAACAAAUCUUUAUUUACGAGGGUAACAGAUAAGCAUUUUUACAUCCAGCCCUCGGACUAAUUAGUAGAAAUAAAAACAUUACAUAAAUUCAGAGCAAAGUAAUAAAUACAGAGCAAUUAUGAUAUGAACAAACAAGAUGUAAAUAUAUGAAUUGAUAGGAUUUGUUUUAAUCUUGGCUAGGACACUAUAGCAACAGGUUGUCGGUGUGAUUAAGCUGGUUCGGACGCCUCUGUAAGUAAUCAAAGGGUUUGAAAAGAUGUUGUAGGAGUUCCACUUUGAGUUUGUAUAGGCUGGAUGCCGUUCUUUGGAGAUCGGAGGUUGUUCUAAAGAACGCUGACAAAAUACAGUAUUAGGUGAUGGUGGCAUUACAAUUUUAUGCUACAGGCACAAUGAGAGUUGUAGUGGCUGACACAUUUGGCAUUGACAUGGGAUGAAUAUGGGAGACAGUGGCUACCCGCUGAGGGACUGGCUUAGUAUCCCCUUUUUUAAAAUGCAGACACUAGAGCCAAGAAAAAGUUCAACUGUGCCCACAGCUCAACAAGGAACACCAUUGAGAGAACCAAUGGUGUUAUCAAAAAUUGGUUCCAUUUUCUUCAGGCACAACUAAGUUUCUUCAGGUGACCCAGUUGACGGAUGGAAUUCUAGCUGCUUGGUACAUCUCCUGGUGUGUUUUAAGCUUUUGGGAACAUAACUGUCUGACAGUCAAAAAGAUUUUUUCAGAAAUGUGCAACUGUCUAGGCCUGAGCAGCUUUGAUGGCUUUGAAUAUUGCUGUCUGGCUCUCAGUGGUGUUGAUGCUGCACGAAAGAAAUAUUUUUUAGAACAAUUGUUUCAUGACAAUUCCACUUGGGACCACUGAGUACUUACCAUUGCAUUAGGUUAUGUAAAGGUAUUGCUUGAAUUACUCUUCUGUGUAAGGUUUCUAUAUAAAUAGAUUAUUAUGUUGCUUUUAAUUCUUUGUGAUGCCCAGUAAGUAGUAAAAAGCAGUAAUGUUGAUAUUUACUACAUGCUGCUGGUGGGAUUGUGAAGGACAUGUUUUUCUCUUUAGAGUUAAUAUUUAACACUUUUCACUGGACCCAGGUAAGCCAUGUCAGAACUUCAUAACAUUUUAUAUGCAACUGUUAAAGAAUGUAGACACCCCACGUCCAUGUCAUUCAGAAGCUGAGUGUCUACUGGAAUCUAAACUGUAG
Molecule: long non-coding RNA, 1200 nt
Organism: Pomacea canaliculata
Lineage: Eukaryota; Metazoa; Mollusca; Gastropoda; Architaenioglossa; Ampullariidae
Exons: 3
Source: RefSeq, a predicted model, not a curated record